RNAcentral lists this ribosomal RNA (460 nucleotides) under uncultured bacterium. RNAcentral describes it as "partial 16S ribosomal RNA". It matches the Rfam family "Bacterial small subunit ribosomal RNA", at positions 338 to 795 of the family's 1533-position model. The record is from RNAcentral.
CCUACGGGAGGCAGCAGUGAGGAAUAUUGGUCAAUGGCCGGAAGGCUGAACCAGCCAUGCCGCGUGAAGGUCAGUGCCCUAUGGGCGUUAAACUUCUUUUGUGCGGGAGCAAUAAUGGUCACGUGUGGCCAGACGAGAGUACCGUACGAAUAAGCAUCGGCUAACUCCGUGCCAGCAGCCGCGGUAAUACGGGGGAUGCAAGCGUUAUCCGGAUUUAUUGGGUUUUAAGGGUGCGUAGGCUGUGAGGUAAGUCAGCGGGGAAAUGCCCCCGCUCAACGGGGUGAAGUGCCAUUGAUACUGGCUUGCUGGAAUGCGGAUGCCGUGGGAGGAAUGUGUGGUGUAGCGGGGAAAUGCAUAGAUAUCACACAGAACACCGAGUGCGAAGGCAUCUCACGAAUCCGCGAUUGACGCUGAUGCACGAAAGCGCGGGUAUCAAACAGGAUUAGAUACCCUAGUAGUC